UACGUAGGGUGCGAGCGUUAAUCGGAAUUACUGGGCGUAAAGGGUGCGCAGGCGGUUAUAUAAGUUGGAUGUGAAAGCCCCGAGCUCAACUUGGGAAUGGCAUUCAAAACUGUAUAUCUAGAGUUUGUCAGAGGGGGGUAGAAUUCCAAGUGUAGCAGUGAAAUGCGUAGAGAUUUGGAGGAAUACCGGUGGCGAAGGCGGCCCCCUGGGAUAGAACUGACGCUCAGGCACGAAAGCGUGGGUAGCAAACAGG
Molecule: ribosomal RNA, 253 nt
Filed under: uncultured bacterium
Lineage: Bacteria
Description: partial 16S ribosomal RNA
Rfam family: Bacterial small subunit ribosomal RNA
Source: RNAcentral